UCUAAAAAACAAAACCAAAAAGACUCAUAAAUACUGAGAAAAAGGAACUGAUGAUUACUAGGGGUAAGGGGGUAAGGGGGGGAAUUAGGUGAAGAGAACUUAAAAAAAGAGACCAUCUAUUUUCCCUCCUCUGACCAAGAUUUUCUGACUGUUUUGACAAAUUGUGGCAAAAGUAGUGAUACCAUCUCUCUCUUUCAUACACUCUCUCAACUUGAUCCUGAGAACCCAACCACCAUGUUGGAGGAAGUCCAAACUAGUCUGUGGGGAGAGACCAUUGGGAGAGGCUCAAGUAGAGAGGAAGUGAGGCCCCCAGCCUAUAGCCAGCAUCAAUCUCCAGACAUGACUUCAAAUGUGGUGGGAUAUAGAAGUGAGAGAGUUGGUCUUCCCAUCCUGUUCCUGUUCCCGGAGGCCAAGCAUUCAGAGAGAAAGCUGAAAGCUCUUCACGAAUGACUUUUUAUCAGGUCGAGAGAGAGCUCCCUUCCAUUCUAAUUUACUGAUCGUUUUCGUUACAGUCGAAUAUGAAUUGUGUCAAAUGAUUUCUGUGCAUCUAUUUAGAUCGUGUGAUUUAUCUUUUCCUAGUAUGAGAUGCCAAACUACCUUGAUCACUUAAAGGUUGAACCAAUCUUCCAUUCCUAGAAUAAACCACGGUUGGCAGUGAAAUGUUA
Molecule: long non-coding RNA, 665 nt
Organism: Canis lupus familiaris (dog)
Lineage: Eukaryota; Metazoa; Chordata; Mammalia; Carnivora; Canidae
Exons: 2
Source: RefSeq, a predicted model, not a curated record